CCAAGCCCAAUCCUAAACUCUAGAGGUUAGCUGGUUACUGGUUAGUGGAUAGGGCAUUAGCAUUUAGCAAUUUAGAUUACAGUACAGUUGAGCGGCGAUUUGGCAAUUUCCGACUUCCUGGCGAUUUCCGACUUCCGAGCUCCGACUUCUCACUCCUCAGUCCUCACUCCUCACAAAUUCCGGGCAAACGAAGAUGUUGUUGUUGCGAACUUGCGAUAGUUUCAAUUUUCAAAGGUAUGUUUCUACUUUCUAGCGAUGGAAAUGAAUUUGAUGAAGAUUUCUAGCGAUGUUCUUUAGCGAAGAUUAAUUUUAUAUUCGAAACUCAUUUUUUUAUUAAGUGUUUGAUUAGGUAUAAAGUAGGUUGACAUAUGAGAAUCCUAUAAGGUAUAGUAGUAGAACAGGGAAUGAAGAUAGUAGUUUCGUGAAAUUUCUUUAGCAGUAAGCGUUGGCAGUUGUGUAUAGAUAUUGAUUGAAGUAACUGAUACAGGAAAAUGAUUCUGUAACCUAAUUUAUGUAGCCCGUUGCACAAACUGUAGUAAUUGUAUCUUACUAGAGCUAACUGGAUAGAAACUGUACUAAUUUCGGUUGUUGUUGCUCUCUGUUCUUUAGUAAUGGACAUAGUACUCUGAUUAAUUUUGGAUAGAUCAUAUUGUAAUUUGUAUUUGACAGCAUAAAGAUAAAUGAAGAUGAUUACAAAAAGAUUUUGUUUUCUCUUUCUAUUUUGUUAAAAUCUUCUUUAGACUUGGUGGAAUCUUCAACUUUAUUUAGACUGAUAUAUGACUAUAUUUUAAUCGGCGGGCUAAUGGACUCGAUAUUGUGUUAUUGUUAGCAUCUUUUAAAAGAACUGCUAGUGUUACUGUUAGCAUCUUUUAGCUGCUGCAAGACCUCAAACUUGUUGAAUGUUGUGUAUUUGUGUUUAUGGUUUGGCUGUUCAGGUGUUCUUGGCAUUGGCAGUGUGUAAAUAUAAUUGGCACAGUGCAAUUGGUUGUUCAGGUGUUCCUGAUGUUGCUGCUGCAUCUUAGUUACAAUUGCAACUUGGCAGUAUGUAAAUGUUUGGUUGUUCAGGUGUUCUGCAGAUGGUUUGGCUGUUCAGGUGUUCUGCAGAUGCUUGUUACAUGUUGUGCAGGUGUUCUGAAUGCUAGUCAUCUCUUUUAAAGAAUGACAAGAAUAAUUCUGGUUUUUCUUGUUUGGCUACAGAUCUAUUAGCUUGGCUGCAGAUGAUUGUUACAUGUCCUGAAGCCUUAAGUCUAAUUAUGUUGUGUGNNNNNNNNNNNNNNNNUAAUUACAAUUAGGCUAUACAUCAUUUAGGUGUAAGGUUCAAAUUUCACCAAGGGUUUUUCUCUUUGUCUAUACAACAACAACCCAGUAUAAUCUCACUUAGUAGAGAGACUAUUUCCAAAUAAAAACUCGACAUAUUUCUCUCAAAGAACUUCCCACCUUGCUUUUGGGGAGACUCGAACUCAC
Molecule: long non-coding RNA, 1464 nt
Filed under: Nicotiana tabacum (common tobacco)
Lineage: Eukaryota; Viridiplantae; Streptophyta; Magnoliopsida; Solanales; Solanaceae
Description: long non-coding RNA (NTAB_LNC015821)
Source: RNAcentral